UACGUAGGGUGCAAGCGUUAAUCGGAAUUACUGGGCGUAAAGCGUGCGCAGGCGGUUCGCUAAGACCGAUGUGAAAUCCCCGGGCUUAACCUGGGAACUGCAUUGGUGACUGGCGGGCUAGAGUAUGGCAGAGGGGGGGUAGAAUUCCACGUGUAGCAGUGAAAUGCGUAGAGAUGUGGAGGAAUACCGAUGGCGAAGGCAGCCCCCUGGGCCAAUACUGACGCUCAUGCACGAAAGCGUGGGGGAGCAAACAGG
Molecule: ribosomal RNA, 255 nt
Filed under: uncultured bacterium
Lineage: Bacteria
Description: partial 16S ribosomal RNA
Rfam family: Bacterial small subunit ribosomal RNA
Source: RNAcentral